UUGCGGAUUAGCUCAGUUGGUAGUAGCGCAUGACUGUUAAUCAUGAUGUCGUCAGUUCGAGUCUGACAUCCGCAGUCC
RNAcentral lists this transfer RNA (78 nucleotides) under Lactococcus garvieae. RNAcentral describes it as "tRNA-Asn". It matches the Rfam family "tRNA". From Rfam's summary of the family: Transfer RNA (tRNA) molecules are approximately 80 nucleotides in length. Their secondary structure includes four short double-helical elements and three loops (D, anti-codon, and T loops). RNAcentral also lists the same sequence under 2 other names. Lineage: Bacteria; Bacillati; Bacillota; Bacilli; Lactobacillales; Streptococcaceae. The record is from RNAcentral.